RNAcentral lists this ribosomal RNA (899 nucleotides) under uncultured bacterium. RNAcentral describes it as "bacterial SSU rRNA". It matches the Rfam family "Bacterial small subunit ribosomal RNA", at positions 8 to 916 of the family's 1533-position model. The record is from RNAcentral.
AGAGUUUGAUCAUGGCUCAGGAUGAACGCUGGCGGCGUGCGUAAUACAUGCAAGUCGAACGAGGUGCUUUUGUAGCAAUACGAGAGUAUCCUAGUGGCGAACGGGUGAGUAACGCGUUGGUGACCUACCCCAAAGUGUGGGAUAACAGUCCGAAAGGAUUGCUAAUACCGCAUGUGGUCAUUGGAUUUAGAAACUGAUGACUAAAGGAGCAAUUCGCUUUGGGAGGGACCUGCGUCCCAUCAGCUAGUUGGUGAGGUAACGGCUCACCAAGGCGACGACGGGUAGGGGACCUGAGAGGGUGGCCCCCCACAAUGGAACUGAAACACGGUCCAUACACCUACGGGUGGCAGCAGUAGGGAAUAUUGCACAAUGGGCGAAAGCCUGAUGCAGCAGCGCCGCGUGUGUGAUGAAGGCCUUCGGGUCGUAAAGCACUUUUCUGGGAGAUGAGAAAGGACAGUAUCCCAGGAAUAAGUCUCGGCUAACUACGUGCCAGCAGCCGCGGUAAAACGUAGGAGGCAAGCGUUAUCCGGAUUCACUGGGCGUAAAGCGCGUGCAGGCGGUGCGGUAAGUUAGGCGUGAAAUCUCCCGUCUCAACUGGGAGAGGUCGUCUAAUACUACCGUACUAGAGAGCAGAAGAGGAAGAUGGAAUUCCCGGUGUAGUGGUGAAAUGCGUAGAUAUCGGGAGGAACACCAGUGGCGAAGGCGAUCUUCUGGUCUGUUUCUGACGCUCAGACGCGACAGCUAGGGUAGUAAACGGGAUUAGAGACCCCGGUAAUCCUAGCCGUAAACGAUGUGAACUUGGCGUUGGUGGGUUAAACUCCAUCAGUGCCGUAGCAAACGCGAUAAGUUCACCGCCUGGGGACUACGGCCGCAAGGUUAAAACUCAAAUGAAUUGACGG